CAGGCCUAACACAUGCAAGUCGAACGGAAUGCUUCGGCAUUCAGUGGCGGACGGGUGAGUAACGCGUGAGAAUCUGCCUUCAGGAUGGGGACAACAGUGAGAAAUCGCUGCUAAAACCCAAUGUGCCGAAAGGUGAAAUAUUUAUAGCCUGAAGAGGAGCUCGCGUCCGAUUAGUUAGUUGGUGGGGUAAAGGCCUACCAAGGCAGCGAUCGGUAGCUGGUCUGAGAGGAUGAGCAGCCACACUGGGACUGAGACACGGCCCAGACUCCUACGGGAGGCAGCAGUGGGGAAUUUUCCGCAAUGGGCGAAAGCUGACGGAGCAAUACCGCGUGAGGGAGGAAGGUUUUUGGAUUGUAAACCUCUUUUUUAAAGGAAGAAGAAAGUGACGGUACUUUAAGAAUAAGCAUCGGCUAACUCCGUGCCAGCAGCCGCGGUAAUACGGAGGAUGCAAGCGUUAUCCGGAAUCAUUGGGCGUAAAGCGUCCGCAGUGGUUAAUCAAGUCUGCUGUUAAAGACAGAAGCUCAACUUCUGGUCGGCAGUGGAAACUGGUGAACUAGAGUACGGUAGGGGUUGAGGGAAUUCCCAGUGUAGCGGUGAAAUGCGUAGAUAUUGGGAAGAACACCAGUGGCGAAGGCGCUCAACUGGGCCGUAACUGACACUCAGGGACGAAAGCUAGGGUAGCGAAAGGGAUUAGAUACCCCUGUAGUCUUAGCUGUAAACGAUGAACACUAGGCGUUGCUUGUAUCGACCCGAGCAGUGCCGUAGCCAACGCGUUAAGUGUUCCGCCUGGGGAGUACGCACGCAAGUUGAAACUCAAUAGG
RNAcentral lists this ribosomal RNA (821 nucleotides) under uncultured cyanobacterium. RNAcentral's name for it is "bacterial SSU rRNA". It matches the Rfam family "Bacterial small subunit ribosomal RNA", at positions 43 to 908 of the family's 1533-position model. The record is from RNAcentral. Lineage: Bacteria; Bacillati; Cyanobacteriota.